This 68-nucleotide transfer RNA is filed under the name Clibanarius infraspinatus. Its description in RNAcentral is "tRNA-Val". Lineage: Eukaryota; Metazoa; Arthropoda; Malacostraca; Decapoda; Diogenidae. The record is from RNAcentral.
UGAGAUAGAGCUUGAAUAAGCAAUUCGUUUACACCGAAAAGAUACCUGUUGAGAGCAGAUUAUCUCAA